Long non-coding RNA from Sorex araneus (European shrew), 499 nucleotides. RefSeq lists it as uncharacterized. The transcript is spliced from 3 exons. The record is from RefSeq and is a predicted model, not a curated record. NCBI's taxonomy places the organism in Eukaryota, Metazoa, Chordata, Mammalia, Eulipotyphla, Soricidae.
CAGGUUUAUCUUAAUCCAUCCCUGCAAGUGAUGGCCUCUAUAUUUUUAUCUGGUGGUCUACAAGGGCUUAGAAAUGAGCUGAAGUUCUGUGUUUGAGCUGGCUGAAUGAUGAUGGACAUUUCACUUUGUUGCAGGUACUAGAUCAAAGGAUUGGAGUUUGGGCUUUCAGCAUAACCUACCUCCUGCUUUCCCAGAUAAUAAAUGAAAAUGUAAUCACUUGUAUCACUUGUCAUCCCCUUGAUCUUCGAUUUGCUCGAGUGGGGGCCAGUAACGUCUCCGCUUGUCCCUGUCAAGUACUAGUGCAGCCCAAUGAUAUUUGCUUGCUCCAGGAACAGGAAGAGCCUCAAAUCGUUCAUUCAGGGAUUUGAUGAAGAAAUCUGACCAUCUAGUUGGUAGGCAUCCACGCAAUCUUCUGACAUCCCGUGGAAUCCAGCCUGUAAUAGCUCUAGUCCAGUGGUCAUCUCUGAAUCGCAUUACAUGACCGGGCCAUCUGAUUUUU